AUAAUCCUCAACAAAGUACUUGCAAACCAAAUCCAGCAGCCACAAAAAGCUAAUCCACCAUGUCAAGUAGGCUUCAUAUCCAGGAUGCAAGAUUGACUCCAACACAUGCAAAUCAAUUAAGUGUGAUUCAUCACAUACAUUGAACUAAAGACAAAAAUCACAUGAUUAUCUUAAUAGAUCCAGAAAAGCCUUUUGAUAAAAUUCACACAUUCCUUUAUGUUAAAAACACUCAAUAGCAAGUGCUGUGAACCACGUGGGUCCCUGGAGCGUUUUGGGUCCUGACAGCUGCAGCGGGAGUUCAAACCUAAGCAACUGGAAGGGACCAUGGCCGCUGUGAGCGUACCUUCAUUGCGAUCAAACCAGAUGGGGUCCAGCGGGGUCUUGUCGGAGAGAUUAUCAAGCGUUUUGAGCAGAAAGGAUUCCGCCUUGUUGGUCUGAAAUCCAUGCAAGUUUCUGAAGACCUUCUCAAGGAACACUACAUUGACCUGAAGGACCGUCCAUUCUUUGUUGGCCUGGUGAAAUACAUGCACUCAGGGCCCGUAGUUGCCAUGGUCUGGGAGGGGCUGAAUGUGGUGAAGACAGGCCGAGUCAUGCUCUGGGAGACCAACCCUGUGGACUCCAAGCCUGGGACCAUCCGUGGAGACUUCUGCAUACAAGUUGGCAGGAACAUUAUACAUGGCAGUGAUUCCGUGGAGAGUGCAGAGAACGAGAUCAGCUUGUGGUUUCACCCUGAGGAACUGGUAGAUUACACGAGCUGUGUUCAGAACUGGAUCUAUGAAUGACAGGAGGGCAGGCCACAAUGCUUUUCACAUCCAUUUCCCCUCCUUCCCAUGGGCAGAGGACCAGGCUGCAGGAAAUCUAGUUAUUUAAAGGAACUUCGUCAUACUUUGGAAGGAAGCUCUUGGAGCUGUGAGUGCUCCCUGUACAGUGUUACCAUCCCCUACCAUCUGAUUAAAAUGCUUCCUCCCAA
RNA transcript from Cercocebus atys (sooty mangabey), 970 nucleotides. It is a transcript of the gene named nucleoside diphosphate kinase A pseudogene, with no coding region annotated. The record is from RefSeq and is a predicted model, not a curated record. The transcript has a single exon. NCBI's taxonomy places the organism in Eukaryota, Metazoa, Chordata, Mammalia, Primates, Cercopithecidae.